RNAcentral lists this ribosomal RNA (518 nucleotides) under Pucciniomycotina sp. RP. RNAcentral's name for it is "LSU rRNA". It matches the Rfam family "Eukaryotic large subunit ribosomal RNA", at positions 90 to 621 of the family's 3401-position model. Lineage: Eukaryota; Fungi; Basidiomycota. The record is from RNAcentral.
CGAGCGAAGCGGGAAAAGCUCAAAUUUGUAAUCUGGCGUCUACGACGUCCGAGUUGUAAUCUCGAGAAGUGUUUUCCGUGAUAGACCGCAUACAAGUCUCUUGGAACAGAGCGUCAUAGUGGUGAGAACCCAGUACUCGAUGCGGAUGCCUAUUACUUUGUGAUACACUUUCGAAGAGUCGAGUUGUUUGGGAAUGCAGCUCAAAUUGGGUGGUAAAUUCCAUCUAAAGCUAAAUAUUGGCGAGAGACCGAUAGCGAACAAGUUCCGUGAGGGAAAGAUGAAAAGCACUUUGGAAAGAGAGUUAACAGUACGUGAAAUUGUUGGAAGGGAAACACAUGCAGCCAGACUUGCUAUUCGGGGCAACUCGAUUGGCAGGCCCGCAUCAGUUUUUCGGGGCGGAAAAGCAUAGAGAGAAGGUAGCAAUUUCGGUUGUGUUAUAGCUCUUUAUUGGAUUCGCCCUGGGGGACUGAGGAACGCAGCGUGCUUUUAGCAUAACCUUCGGGUUAUCCACGCUUAGG